Molecule: long non-coding RNA, 226 nt
Organism: Capra hircus (goat)
Lineage: Eukaryota; Metazoa; Chordata; Mammalia; Artiodactyla; Bovidae
Exons: 3
Source: RefSeq, a predicted model, not a curated record
CUAAAGGCAAUUUAGUGAAUUGAGGAGACAACUGGAGGUGGUUUAAAAGGAUGGAGUGCAAAGAAAGAGCCAAUGACACUUAAGUGGCCAAGUAGUUUACAAGCAGUCAUUAAGGAAUCAUCACUAAUAUGGUAUUAUCCUUCCCAUGUGCAAUCACACGAGCAAGUAUAGGAGGACCAUGAGGCUGCUUCAUUCACCAAGACUCCAAUUGCAUGUAUUUCAUUUG